This 1328-nucleotide long non-coding RNA is filed under the name Equus asinus (donkey). RNAcentral's name for it is "lncRNA (ENSEASG00005025839.1)". The record is from RNAcentral. Lineage: Eukaryota; Metazoa; Chordata; Mammalia; Perissodactyla; Equidae.
CCGGGCGGCGGCGGCGGCGGCGGCAGAAGGGACGACUGAGCCCGCGCCCGGAGUUGCCGCUCCUGCCGCCUGGCGCGGGCGGCGCCUUCCCAGCAGAGCCGCGGCGCCGCGAGCGCGGGCGCCCCCUAACGGCGGCGCGGGCGAGAGGCCAGAGGGCCCGACGGCCGCAGGGACUCAGCCGGGCGCAGCGUGGACCGCACGGUCAGGCCAGCUUUGCUGCAGCCCCGAAGCCACGCCCCGAGGCCCCAGUCCCGCCCCCCGAAUCCACGAGGCCCCGCCCAGACCCCGCCCCUACGUCCCGCUUCCGCCCGCAGUUUGGGAUCAGCGUAGCUCCCGGCAGUCUUGACUGUGUUCUAGGGCCUAGGAUCCCCGGCGCUGUUUCUCCGUGUCAUCGCACUAGCGUGUAUGGGGCACCGACUAUGUGCCAGGCCUGAGGGAUACAGCGGCCACCAAGAUAGAGGGGGGUCCUAAUGAGAGGAGAAAACAGACAAGACCCAAGGAAACAGCCAGUAGUUUAUAAUAAUAACGAGUUCUGAUCAUAAAUGUUGGGAGGUGCAUGAUUAGCGGAAUUAGAUGGAGAACAAGGGGAAGGGGCCUCUGCUUCACACGCGGUGGCCUAGGAAGACCUGGACGUCAGGACUGUGGCCAGAGCGCCUCCUGGCUUUACCCUCCGUUGGGGGAGGCAAUCCUGUAAUAAGGUCACCUAUCCAUUAUGGUGGGCAGAGUAGGGAAUGGCAGCCUAGCCUGAAGGGUCAGCGUGGACAGCCAGGUGGAGAGAAGGGCAGAGCUGACUUCAGCAGAGAAAACGACCGGUGCAAAGGCUCUGAGGCCUGAAGGAGCUGGUCCUAGCUUCCAGAACUCUGCUGGGAGCUGCAGAACCAGGAGGAGGAGUCUGAUUCUCACCAGUCUUCAGAGUGAGGCCCUGUGGUUGUCCUUGGAUGUCACCAUCCUCUUCGCCAUUAUGACUCUAUAAUUAGAGAGAAUGGAUCUGACAUUAGACCAGGAAUCAGAAGCUCUGGCUCCCGUCUUUAGUCCCAGAGUGUCUCCGGGUGCCACAUCUGAGAACUUCACGGGCCUUGAGAGGCCUUGUAUGUCAAAUGGGAAUAAAGCUGCCUGACCAUAGCAUUACAGCCAGCUGGUGUGCGGGAGGCAAGACAGCUCCAGAUUCUGAGUUCUCAUCCUCCCUGAUGGCUCAGGGCUUGAAACACUCAUCAAUAAGACAUUUCAGGCCUUGGUUGUCACCCGCCUCAUUCCUAAUCCAAACCACUUCCCCUGCAUGUGUUUGCUUAUUGAGCAAGAGCUUAUUCACUUACAAAACACACCUCCUG